GAAGACACGUGGAAUGGGAGCUGGACGCAAGCUGAAGUCCCACCGCAGAAGACAAAGGUGGGCUGACAAGUCCUACAAGAAGUCCCAUCUUGGUAACGAAUGGAAGAAGCCAUUUGCUGGAUCUUCCCAUGCUAAAGGCAUUGUGCUCGAGAAGAUAGGUAUUGAGGCUAAACAGCCAAAUUCUGCUAUUCGUAAAUGUGCUAGGGUUCAACUCAUCAAGAAUGGGAAAAAGAUUGCUGCUUUUGUCCCUAAUGAUGGUUGCUUGAACUACAUCGAAGAAAACGAUGAAGUGCUGAUUGCUGGAUUUGGUCGUAAAGGUCACGCCGUGGGAGAUAUUCCCGGAGUUCGUUUCAAGGUGGUGAAGGUUCUGGUGUCUCUCUUCUAGCUCUCUUCAAGGAGAAGAAGGAGAAGCCA
RNAcentral lists this unclassified non-coding RNA (414 nucleotides) under Hevea brasiliensis (rubber tree). Lineage: Eukaryota; Viridiplantae; Streptophyta; Magnoliopsida; Malpighiales; Euphorbiaceae. The record is from RNAcentral.